This 253-nucleotide ribosomal RNA is filed under the name uncultured bacterium. RNAcentral's name for it is "partial 16S ribosomal RNA". It matches the Rfam family "Bacterial small subunit ribosomal RNA", at positions 524 to 776 of the family's 1533-position model. The record is from RNAcentral.
UACGAGUGCCUCAAGCGUUAUCCGGAAUCAUUGGGCGUAAAGGUUGUGUAGGUGGUUGUAUUAGUCUCUUGUUAAAUUCUUCGGCUUAACCGGGGGCAUGCAAGGGAAACGGUACGACUAGAGGAUGCGAGGGGUCUGCGGAACUCAUAGUGUAGCGGUAAAAUGCGUUGAUAUUAUGGGGAACACCAAAAGCGAAGGCAGCAGACUGGAGCACUCCUGACACUGAAACAAGAAAGCGUGGGUCGCGAAUGGG